RNAcentral lists this ribosomal RNA (356 nucleotides) under uncultured bacterium. Its description in RNAcentral is "bacterial SSU rRNA". It matches the Rfam family "Bacterial small subunit ribosomal RNA", at positions 1 to 334 of the family's 1533-position model. The record is from RNAcentral.
GUGAGUAGUUCAGAGUUUGAUCCUGGCUCAGGAUGAACGCUGGCGGCGUGCUUAACACAUGCAAGUCGAACGAAGCAAUUUAUCUAGAUCCCUUCGGGGUGACGGAUUUAUUGACUGAGUGGCGGACGGGUGAGUAACGCGUAUGUAACCUACCUUUAACAGGGGGAUAACACUGAGAAAUUGGUACUAAUACCCCAUAACACUUUAGGAGGCAUCUCCUUUAGUUGAAAGUUCCGGCGGUUAAAGAUGGACAUGCGUUGUAUUAGCUAGAUGGUGAGGUAACGGCUCACCAUGGCGACGAUACAUAGGGGGACUGAGAGGUUAACCCCCCACACUGGUACUGAGACACGGACCAG